RNAcentral lists this ribosomal RNA (799 nucleotides) under uncultured Glomus. RNAcentral's name for it is "SSU rRNA". It matches the Rfam family "Eukaryotic small subunit ribosomal RNA", at positions 314 to 1114 of the family's 1831-position model. Lineage: Eukaryota; Fungi; Glomeromycota; Glomeromycetes; Glomerales; Glomeraceae. The record is from RNAcentral.
UUCAACUUUCGAUGGUAGGAUAGAGGCCUACCAUGGUGGCAACGGGUAACGGGGUGUUAGGGCACGACACCGGAGAGGGAGCCUGAGAAACGGCUACCACAUCCAAGGAUGGCAGCAGGCGCGCAAAUUACCCAAUCCCGACACGGGGAGGUAGUGACAAUAAAUAACAAUACGGGGUCCUUUCGGGUUUCGUAAUUGGAAUGAGUACAAUUUAAAUCUCUUAACGAGGAACAAUUGGAGGGCAAGUCUGGUGCCAGCAGCCGCGGUAAUUCCAGCUCCAAUAGCGUAUAUUAAAGUUGUUGCAGUUAAAAAGCUCGUAGUUGAAUUUUGGGAUUAGUGCGCCGGUCGUGCCUUCGGUAUGUACUGGUGUUACUGGUUCCUACCUUCUGACGAACCGUCAUGUCAUUAAUUUGGUGUGGCGGGAAAUCAGGACUGUUACUUUGAAAAAAUUAGAGUGUUUAAAGCAAGCUAACGCUUGAAUACAUUAGCAUGGAAUAAUGAAAUAGGACGUUCGAUCCUAUUUUGUUGGUUUCUAGGAUUGACGUAAUGAUUAAUAGGGAUAGUUGGGGGCAUUAGUAUUCAAUUGUCAGAGGUGAAAUUCUUGGAUUUAUUGAAGACUAACUACUGCGAAAGCAUUUGCCAAGGAUGUUUUCAUUAAUCAAGAACGAAAGUUAGGGGAUCGAAGACGAUCAGAUACCGUCGUAGUCUUAACCAUAAACUAUGCCGACUAGGGAUCGGAUGAUGUUAAUUUUUUAAUGACUCAUUCGGCGCCUUACGGGAAACCAAAGUGUUUGGGUUC